This 253-nucleotide unclassified non-coding RNA is filed under the name uncultured Planctomycetales bacterium. RNAcentral describes it as "contains 16S-23S intergenic spacer region". It matches the Rfam family "Bacterial small subunit ribosomal RNA", at positions 524 to 776 of the family's 1533-position model. The record is from RNAcentral. Lineage: Bacteria; Pseudomonadati; Planctomycetota; Planctomycetia; Planctomycetales.
UACGAACUGCGCGAACGUUAUUCGGAAUCACUGGGCUUACAGGGUGCGUAGGCGGCCGAUCAGGUCAGGUGUGAAAUCCCACGGCCCAACCGUGGAAUGGCGCUUGAAACCGAUCGGCUUGAGUGAGCUAGGGGUGCACGGAACUUCCAGUGGAGCGGUGAAAUGUGUUGAUAUUGGAAGGAACACCAGAAGCGAAAGCGGUGCACUGGGGCUUGUCUGACGCUGAGGCACGAAAGCCAGGGGAGCGAACGGG